Long non-coding RNA from Bubalus bubalis (water buffalo), 719 nucleotides. RefSeq lists it as uncharacterized. Lineage: Eukaryota; Metazoa; Chordata; Mammalia; Artiodactyla; Bovidae. The transcript has 3 exons. The record is from RefSeq and is a predicted model, not a curated record.
GGGCCUUGCGGCCCCGCCCCUGGCCCCGCCCCUGGCCUCCAAUUCCUCGGCGCACCUCCGGGGCUGGUGGGUGAGGGGUACUCAAACCGGACGGGGGCGAGCACGUGCCUGAUGCAAUUCGGAAGGGGGGCCGGUCAGCGAGCCCGAGUUUUUAGUUCUUCUUGGACUCUGUUCUCUGGGCUGGUUGAUUUGUCUGCAGAAGAGACGGUGGGGCACAGCCCAAAGACACAGGCUGAGAAAUCAGAGGGGUGUGUUUGCUGGUGGCUAUGAGAACAUUUCACAUCAGCCUUCCGGGCCUCGGGAUCCUCAUCUGAAGAAAGCAAUUUGACUGGCAGGAUCCAGGUGAGGUGCAUUCACUUUGCAAAUAUCAGCAGGAAACAGUAGCUCUGCAUACUCUCAGGAGUCUUCUGUGACCUUUGACCAAUACCUGCUGUGUCAUGUGGACCGAGAGACAGCCUCCUCGUUGUACUGGAGAGAAGCCAGGCCUAGAGAGGCGAGGACAGCAGCCCAAAGUCACACAGCUGGUUAAUGCCAAAGGCUUGAAACCAGGUCUCUUGACUCCAAACUCUACGCUCUUUCCAACAGUUCUGUGGACCCCUGCAAUUUCUCUAAAUUAGCUGACUGUGUAUCAGAAUCUUGUAAUUCACAGGGGUUCAUGUUUCUCAAAGCCAUUGAAUCAUACGUUUAAAAUCUGAACAGUAAAAAGAAAAGAAAAAAUC